GGGGCUGUAGCUCAGUGGUAGAGCGCCUGCCUUGCAUGUGUGAGGCACUGGGUUCGAUCUUCAGCACCA
RNAcentral lists this transfer RNA (69 nucleotides) under Marmota marmota marmota (Alpine marmot). It matches the Rfam family "tRNA". From Rfam's summary of the family: Transfer RNA (tRNA) molecules are approximately 80 nucleotides in length. RNAcentral also lists the same sequence under 3 other names. Lineage: Eukaryota; Metazoa; Chordata; Mammalia; Rodentia; Sciuridae. The record is from Rfam by way of RNAcentral.